UAUAAAUGCAGGUAGAAAUACGCUGUAUACUCGUGUAAGCGAAUUUGCGUUUAAGCGACAUGCAAUGUCGUCGCUCACGAGGGGCCGCCCACGGGCGGCUUUUUUAU
This 107-nucleotide small RNA is filed under the name human gut metagenome. RNAcentral's name for it is "DUF3800-I RNA". It matches the Rfam family "DUF3800-I RNA". From Rfam's summary of the family: Actinobacteria, Firmicutes, Fusobacteria, Proteobacteria (1 example), Tenericutes (2 examples). Terminator (Clostridia) The record is from RNAcentral.